UUGUCUAUUUUCUUUGCUCAGUCAGUAGAGCAUGAGACUCUUAAUCUCAGAGCCAUGGGUUCAAGCCUCAUGUUGGGCAAA
Non-coding RNA from Podarcis lilfordi (Lilford's wall lizard), 81 nucleotides. NCBI's taxonomy places the organism in Eukaryota, Metazoa, Chordata, Lepidosauria, Squamata, Lacertidae. The record is from the annotation of a GenBank genome assembly.